Molecule: long non-coding RNA, 927 nt
Organism: Sitophilus oryzae (rice weevil)
Lineage: Eukaryota; Metazoa; Arthropoda; Insecta; Coleoptera; Curculionidae
Exons: 3
Source: RefSeq, a predicted model, not a curated record
GGGACACCAACAUUCAUACUCUACAUUAGUUAGCUUAUAAGAAAAGACACCUCUACGAAUCUACACCUCUACAAAAAAAUGGAACUCUAAAAGUAAAUGGAAAGAGUUGAAGAAGACAUUAGGUAUAGAAAAGCACCUCUUCAAUCACGUCUCACCUCCAAAAUUAGGCUGAGAAUAAAUGAAAUUGAUGACACCGAAUGUAACCUAGUAGAUAAGAAUAUAUGCAGUCUUUCGAAGAACGAUAUAAUAGAGGUACAACGUGGCCUAUAUACUGCAAUCAUCAAGGUCCACACUUGCUAUAUAACACUGCUAUAUAGCAAAGUUAUAUAACAUGUUACAUAUUUUUUUAGUCAUAUUUAGCAAAUUUCGCUGCUAUAAAACUUGCUAGAUGAUAUCCAUUUGUAGUCGGUAAAGAUCAAAAGAUGUUGCUCAACACUGCUAUUGUAACAUGAAACAAUGCGUCCAGACUUGCUAAAAAAAAUUUCUAGUUUAGCCUCUCAUAUUUUCAGUGAAGUGCGCGAUAGAAUCUUAGUAUGGUGAGCUAAUAUUGGGUUUGUUUAUUUACUGGUCAAUAAUACCAAUCGAUCGAAAAAAAAACUGCGUCCAGUCUGCUUCCCGUCCAGUUGGCUUAGACAUGACGAUCGAUGACAUUCCCACUAUAAUUUUUCAUAUAAAAUGACAGCGAUCUUCAUUUCAUACCCAUCGCUGACGCCAUUUUUUUUCGAUCGAAUAGUUCUUAUACAGGCCCUAUUUUACCAUAAGGCCCAUCAGGCCGGGGCCUUGGGCCCGGUGAUCUGGGAGGCCCGUUAAAGGUUGUAAAAUGUUCAUAAUUUCAAAUGUAAAUUUACAUAGCAGAGAAAAAAACAGUUACAUCUGAUAAGGAAAACAGAAUUAAAUAAAAUACGCUUUAGAUUAAUAUAAUUUUUG